CAAUGGUUUGGUUCUGAAGUCAAUGGUUUGGUUCUGAAGUCAAUGGUUUGGUUCUGAAGUCAAUGGUUUGGUUCUGAAGUCAAUGGUUUGGUUCAGAGUUUGCAGACAUUUGCUCGCAAGAAAGCUAGCAGCUGGCUAACCGCUUCCUGGCCUGGAAAAACGAGAAAUCACUCAACUCUAAAGGGGAUGAAGCAAACACAUGCUCAGCAGCAUACACACAUACAGGAAUGCUGACCUCUGACGGGCUGAAGGAGUCCAGCUCCCUCUUGCCUCCAGGGUACCAACCAUGGGACCAGUGCUGGGCGUUGGACAGCUGAGCCCCCACACAGAGAAGCAGGCCGAGCAGCAAAACCAGCCGAGAUGCAAACAUGUGUCCCUCAGCGUCUUGUCAGAGGCUCAGUCUGCUCACCUUUCAGUCAGUCGGUCGGUUCCUGAAGUUUUCCCAGUUUCUCAGGUGUAGAGUGUGAAGUGUGGAUAUUCUCUUCUCUUCUUAUAUGUACCGGUCUAAAAAGGUCCCCCUCCCAAGAGACAUUUUCAUCAUCAUUCCCAUGUUGCUCCACCCAUGACUGACCCCUUUGGUCCCUUUGAUCCCAGAGCUGAAAUGAAAGCUCCCCUGGGGCUAAGAGGUCUUGGAGACAUGGCCAAUUCCAAUUAUCAUCUACAAACACCACUGACAUACCUGGGAGACUCAUCUGCUUGUUGCAUCAUCUAAAUCUGCCAAGACCAAGAUUAAAUGUGAAAAGGUA
Notolabrus celidotus (New Zealand spotty) is the source of this 746-nucleotide long non-coding RNA. RefSeq lists it as uncharacterized. NCBI's taxonomy places the organism in Eukaryota, Metazoa, Chordata, Actinopteri, Labriformes, Labridae. The transcript is spliced from 3 exons. The record is from RefSeq and is a predicted model, not a curated record.